This 253-nucleotide ribosomal RNA is filed under the name uncultured bacterium. RNAcentral's name for it is "partial 16S ribosomal RNA". It matches the Rfam family "Bacterial small subunit ribosomal RNA", at positions 524 to 776 of the family's 1533-position model. The record is from RNAcentral.
UACGGAGGGAGCUAGCGUUGUUCGGAUAUACUGGGCGUAAAGCGCACGUAGGCGGCGCCGUAAGUCAGGGGUGAAAUCCCGGAGCUCAACUCCGGAACUGCCCUUGAAACUGCAGUGCUAGAAUCCUGGAGAGGCGAGUGGAAUUCCGAGUGUAGAGGUGAAAUUCGUAGAUAUUCGGAAGAACACCAGUGGCGAAGGCGGUCAACUGGCCUCAUAUUGACACUCAGACGCGAAGGCAUGGGUAGCGAACGGG